GCCUGGCCCCGCAGUGGGCCGCACCGCCCGCGCUCAGGGCGGGCUCGGCGGGCUUUUUCCGCCGGAGCAGCGCCGCAGCCCGCCAGCCGCCGGCCGCCGACGCGGGAUGCUGCGCUCCACGUCCACCGUCACCCUGCUCUCGGGCGGCGGCGCCAGGGCGCCCAGCAGGCGGGCAAAUGUCUGCAGACUGCGGCUGACGGUACCCCCCGAGAGUCCAGCCUUGGAGCCAGGUGAAAAGAAACUUGAAAGAAAAGAACAACUCCCUGAACUAAGCAAUGGAGAACCAACCAGGAAACUUCCUCAGGGUGUUGUCUAUGGCGUGGUGCGGAGAUCAGAUCCAAACGAGCAGAAAGAAAUGGUGGUAUAUGGGUGGUCCACCAACCAGCUGAAAGAAGAGAUGAACUACAUCAGAGAUGUGAGAGCCACUUUGGAAAAAGUAAGGAAGCGAAUGUAUGGAGACUAUGAUGAAAUGAGACAGAAGAUUCGACAGCUUACCCAGGAAUUGUCAGCUUCACAGGCUCAGCAGGAGUAUCUUGAGAGUCACAUCCAGACACAGUCGUCAGCCCUGGACAGUUUUAAUGCCAUGAACUCAACCUUAACGUCGGACUCCAUUGGCCUGCAGAAAACCCUCGUGGAUGUUACUCUGGAAAAUAGCAACAUUAAGGAUCAAAUCCGAGAUCUGCAGCAGACCUAUGAAGCAUCCAUGGGCCAGCUGCGGGAAAAGCAGAGGCAGUUGGAGGUAGCGCAAGUUGAAAAUCAGCUGUUGAAGAUGAAGGUGGAAUCCUCCCAGGAAGCCAAUGCCGAGGUGAUGAGAGAGAUGACCAGGAAGCUGUACAGCCAGUAUGAGGAAAGGCUGCAGGAGCAGCAGCAGAAGCACAAUGCCGAGAAGGAGGCUCUGCUGGAAGAAACCAAAAGUUUUCUGAAAGCUAUUGAAGAAGCCAAUAAAAAGAUGGAAGCAGCGGAGAUCAGCCUAGUGGAGAAGGACCAGAGGAUUGGAGAGCUGGACAGGCUGAUUGAGCGCAUGGAAAAGGAACGCCAUCAGCUGCAGCUACAGCUUCUGGAGCAUGAAACAGAAAUGUCAGUGGAAAUAACCGAUUCUGACAAGGAAAGGUAUCAGCAGCUGGAAGAGGCAUCUGCCAGCCUCCGUGAACGGAUCAGACACUUAGAUGACAUGGUGCAUUGCCAGCAGAAGAAAGUCAAGCAGAUGGUUGAGGAGAUUGAAUCGUUAAAGAAAAAGGUGCAGCAGAAACAGCUCUUGAUAUUGCAGCUUUUAGAAAAGAUCUCUUUCUUAGAAGGAGAGAAUAAUGAACUACAAAGCAGGUUGGACUAUUUAAUAGAAACCCAGGCCAAGCCUGAGGUGGAGACCAGAGAGAUUGGAGUGGGCUGUGAUCUUCUAACCAGGAUCCAUCUUAGCGCUUUCACUGCAUAGGUCAAUCAGCAGAGGAAAUGAAAGCUACAUAUCCGCAUUUCCGAAAAGGCAGGCCCAACAGGCAGGACUCGUGAAAUUGCGAUGCCUUCCAGGAACUAUACCCCAUACACAAGAGUUCUGGAGUUAACCAUGAAGAAAACCCUGACUUAGGCCCUUGGAAACACACACCUUGUACAGAUGGGCAAAGGCCCUAGAACCGCACAGCUCAAAGUCUGGGAAGGACGGCUGCUGCUUCCCUGUAUACGUGUUUAAGCCAGAAAGGAGCCUGCUGAGGUUCUGAUCUACUUCUAAAACAUGAAGGAAAAGUGAGGUGGAAGGGGAGGGCUGGGGAGAGUGGUUUCGAGGUCAUAUUUCAAACACCCAACCAUGCCCUACUGGGCCGUCAUUAGCUCUCUGAGUAGACACUGAAAUUGUGUCAGGAGAAUUCCCUCACAAUUUAUUUUCUGGUUUACUAGCCUUCGGUUGGGAGGAAAAAGGGCAUUAAUUUGAAAUUUCAUGUUAUUCACGCCAGGAUCAUUUGUUACAGCAUGAAGGCUUUAUUCACCCAUAAAAGUAUUAGAGGCAGUGUUUCUCUGGUGCCGAGAAGCCUGUCCAUGGUGCAGGAGCACCUGGGGAGACCGAACCCUGCCAAGGAAGGGUGCUGUCUCCUCUUGGCACCCAGGAUCUGUGUGGGGUUGCGGGAGCCAUGGCUGGAGAUUGGCCUCCUGCCGGCACAAGUGCCUCAUUCUGAUGUGCUAAUCCUUUGGUUUAAUUUGUGCCUUAUGCCUUCAUGGGGCUUACUGAAAUCUAUGUAUUUAUUUCACCUGUGAUUUUUUUUUCCCUUUCUCACUUUAACUGAAAGAAUUUUGUAUGUUGUGGAAAUAUAAUCAUUUCAUGUUUUCAGUAUCAAUUGGUGUUUUUGUUAAAUAAUUUGUUCAUGCAUGCUCUACUUUGAUAUUAUAACCUAUGUCACAUAUGUUUAAUAAAUGCCAUAUAUUUUGUUCUA
This is an RNA transcript of Canis lupus familiaris (dog), 2414 nucleotides long. It is a transcript of the gene named myocardial zonula adherens protein, with no coding region annotated. Lineage: Eukaryota; Metazoa; Chordata; Mammalia; Carnivora; Canidae. The transcript has 14 exons. The record is from RefSeq and is a predicted model, not a curated record.